RNAcentral lists this ribosomal RNA (413 nucleotides) under uncultured bacterium. Its description in RNAcentral is "bacterial SSU rRNA". It matches the Rfam family "Bacterial small subunit ribosomal RNA", at positions 8 to 417 of the family's 1533-position model. The record is from RNAcentral.
AGAGUUUGAUCCUGGCUCAGGACGAACGCUGGCGGCGUGCUUAACACAUGCAAGUCUACGAGAACGAGGUAGCAAUAUCUUUAGUAAAGUGGCGCACGGGUGAGUAACACGUAAGUAAUCUACCUUUGGGUCUGGAAUAACUUCGAGAAAUCGAGGCUAAUACCGGAUAAUGCAGCGGCACCGCAUGGUGAUGUUGUUAAAGUUUGCGUAAUGCCUAAAGAUGAGCUUGCGUCUGAUUAGCUAGUUGGUAGAGUAACAGCCUACCAAGGCAACGAUCAGUAGCUGGUCUGAGAGGAUGAUCAGCCACACUGGAACUGAGACACGGUCCAGACUCCUACGGGAGGCAGCAGUGAGGAAUAUUGGGCAAUGCCCGCAAGGGUGACCCAGCAACGCCGCGUGGAGGAUGAAUGUCG